This 1965-nucleotide long non-coding RNA is filed under the name Dromaius novaehollandiae (emu). RNAcentral describes it as "lncRNA (ENSDNVG00000014499.1)". Lineage: Eukaryota; Metazoa; Chordata; Aves; Casuariiformes; Dromaiidae. The record is from RNAcentral.
AGAGAAAAGAAAAAAAACAGUCUGUGCUUUCAUAUCAGAACUUGUGAUUUAGGAUCAUAGGAAGGAUCAUUCCCAGAAGAAACAGGGACUUGGUCUGAUAAUCUCUGCACAGGAUUAAUGAGGCUGGAGUGUAUGAGAACGCACAGUUCUGAACCUGAAGAAAGGCUGGGCCAAAGCUUGUGGAGCAACAGUCAGAAAUGCCCCUCUCAGGACCUGCAAACUGAGUGGUUGCUUCUCUGCCUCCUACUUCCACCCAAGAACUUUAGCUCAGCCUGCCUAGGGGGAGGCUGCUCCCAUCACAGGCUGAGCUCUUGCGUUCUUCACAAGUCCAUCACUCUUCACAAUUUUUUUCCAGCCAGACAUCAUUGUCCCAGACAGAUGCCUAGACCAGGAGAAUCACAUCCAAAGCAGCGGAGGAUCCAAAGGCUCAGUUCAUCUUACCUCUGUGAAGUUCCUCCAGCUUCAUUUGCUUUUCAGAGUUGUUCUUCCUUGGCAGAACUGUUGGAGAAGGACUGUAAUGCUAACAGCCGUAAUUGCCAAGUGAGAGUUAUUCUAGAGUACAAGGAUUUCUGCACAUACUUUAGGCACCUGUUGUAUCACUGGAGACAACUCACACCUGUGGCAGGAUCAAAACUGUACGGUAUAAUAAUUCAGUCAUUACUUUGCUAUUUUGUAACUUGGUGCCAUCUGGAACAUAGCAUAGACAGAGCCUAAAACAGAAAGCAAUCUACAGUGUAUGUUAAGGUUGCAAAAGGAAACAAAAAACCCAAAGCAAAACAAAACAGAAAACCAACCCCCCUCCAGAGGGAAGUGUGAUAACAAGUAUCCACAAAGACAGGAAGCUGCAAAAAAACAAACGUCUGUGCUGGAAGUGAGGUUGGAUCAAAAAAAUUACUCCAGCCUUAAUCGGUCACUGACAUGAACAAACAGGCAUGCAAGAAGUUAGAAGGAGAGAACAUGGAUUUUUGAAGAGUUUGGCAAAAUAAGAAUCAUUUUGCCUGAGCAGAAAUGAACUAAAGAAUUCUUUGUCAUUCUUCGUUGAAUAGGCAAAGACAGAUGGAAGAUUAUAGAGACUGCCUGAAUACCAAUCAUCAGAAAUACGAUUUCUAACAAUUGCAACACUUACCAUGAAAAUGAACUUUUUGAUAACAUGACAUUGUAUAAAUUCUUUAUUUGUGUACAUUUUGUGAAUCAAUAACUAGAAACUUUAUGCUGAUGUAGAAAUAUAGUUAAUAGUAAAAAAUACAUUAGGCUGAAUAUUUAUUUACAGUGAAAUUCACCCUAAAAAAAUCAGUCUUAGGGCCUAUCAAACUUAAUUUCCAUUUGCAUCUGAAAAGAGUGCUAAUGAGACGAAAGUGGUAGAGAUCUUUUACAACUCUGAGUUUACAGAUCAAAGAAGAAAAAGGAACAUAUUCCUUUCCAGUCUCCCUUCUCUCUUGGCUUUUCUUUUAAACUGGAACAGAGUUAAAUGUAAUUUAUGCAAGGCCACAAAAAACUCUACAAUGUGAGAAAUAAGAUCUGUAGUGCAAGGUAUAUGUGCUUUAAGUUCAGUUUUUCUUUUUUACAUAGUCACUUUUUGGGGUACAAUUGUUCUUUAAUUCUGAGUUUUUAAAACUUGUUUUUGGAAUCUCAGUGACUUGAAACAACUUUAAUGUACUUCACAAUUCCUGUCAGUUUUCAGCUGUAAGCAGAAAACAACAGAAGACUAGCUCUUUUAUCUUUCAAAACAUUAGUAUGGAAGUUUUCAAAAUAGAAUCAACAUUAUUCUUUCAGUGUUCUGAAAGCAGGUUACUUGCAUCCUGUUCUUCUGAUGAAGUCAUUUAUAUUUACAAACUUUAUUCUUACCAAGUUAUUACUUGCUCUAAUUCUGCUUUGUGACAAUUAAAGACAGAGAAGAUAAUUUUGUAUCACUUUGGUGAACUAUCAUAGAACAGAAAAUAAAGAAGUAAUAACUUAUAAAUACCA